CGUAGGGGGCAAGCGUUGUCCGGAAUCAUUGGGCGUAAAGCGCGUGUAGGCGGUCCGGUAAGUCGGCUGUGAAAGUCCAGGGCUCAACCCUGGGAUGCCGGUCGAUACUGCCGGACUAGAGUUCGGAAGAGGCGAGUGGAAUUCCCGGUGUAGCGGUGAAAUGCGCAGAUAUCGGGAGGAACACCAAUGGCGAAGGCAGCUCGCUGGGACGUUACUGACGCUGAGACGCGAAAGCGUGGGGAGCAAACAGGAUUAGAUACCCUGGUAGUCCACGCCGUAAACGAUGGGCACUAGGUGUGGGAGGUGUCGACUCCUCCCGUGCCGGAGCUAACGCAUUAAGUGCCCCGCCUGGGGAGUACGGCCGCAAGGCUAA
RNAcentral lists this ribosomal RNA (373 nucleotides) under uncultured organism. RNAcentral's name for it is "bacterial SSU rRNA". It matches the Rfam family "Bacterial small subunit ribosomal RNA", at positions 526 to 897 of the family's 1533-position model. The record is from RNAcentral.